Molecule: ribosomal RNA, 464 nt
Filed under: Paenibacillus odorifer
Lineage: Bacteria; Bacillati; Bacillota; Bacilli; Caryophanales; Paenibacillaceae
Description: bacterial LSU rRNA
Rfam family: Bacterial large subunit ribosomal RNA
Source: RNAcentral
AGGUUAAGCUAAUAAGAGCACACGGAGGAUGCCUAGGCGCCAGGAGCCGACGAAGGACGUGGCGAACAACGAAACUGCCUCGGGGAGCUGUAAGCAAGCUUUGAUCCGGGGGUGUCCGAAUGGGGAAACCCAGCUGUGGUAAUUCGCAGUUACUCAUUUCUGAAUACAUAGGAAAUGUAGAGGCAGACCAGGGGAACUGAAACAUCUAAGUACCCUGAGGAAGAGAAAACAAUAGUGAUUCCGUCAGUAGCGGCGAGCGAACGCGGAACAGCCUAAACCUAAGAGCUUGCUCUUAGGGGUUGUGGGACGUCUCACAUGGAGUUACAAAGGAAUAUGGUAGGUGAAGAGGUCUGGAAAGGCCCGCGAUAGAGGUAAAAGCCCUGUAACCUAAACUGUGUUCUCUCCGAGACGGAUCCCGAGUAGUGCGGGGCACGUGAAACCCCGUAUGAAUCCAGCAGGACCAU